RNAcentral lists this ribosomal RNA (440 nucleotides) under uncultured bacterium. RNAcentral's name for it is "partial 16S ribosomal RNA". It matches the Rfam family "Bacterial small subunit ribosomal RNA", at positions 338 to 795 of the family's 1533-position model. The record is from RNAcentral.
CCUACGGGGUGCAGCAGUAGGGAAUAUUGCUCAAUGGGGGAAACCCUGAAGCAGCAACGCCGCGUGGAGGAUGAAGGUUUUCGGAUUGUAAACUCCUUUUGUUAGAGAAGAUAAUGACGGUAUCUAACGAAUAAGCACCGGCUAACUCCGUGCCAGCAGCCGCGGUAAUACGGAGGGUGCAAGCGUUACUCGGAAUCACUGGGCGUAAAGAGCGCGUAGGCGGGAUAGCAAGUCAGAUGUGAAAUCCUAUGGCUUAACCAUAGAACUGCAUUUGAAACUGUUAUUCUAGAGUAUGGGAGAGGUAGGUGGAAUUCUUGGUGUAGGGGUAAAAUGCGUAGAGAUCAAGAGGAAUACUCAUUGCGAAGGCGACCUGCUAGAACAUAACUGACGCUGAUGCGCGAAAGCGUGGGGAGCAAACAGGAUUAGAUACCCUAGUAGUC